GUCUGGUCUGGGAUGAAGUGGCAGUCCUCCACACUCUGUUUAAGGGGUCCAUGUACUCUUUCCCCCUUCUCACUACUGCACUUGACUAGUCUUAA
This 95-nucleotide non-coding RNA is filed under the name Cavia porcellus (domestic guinea pig). Lineage: Eukaryota; Metazoa; Chordata; Mammalia; Rodentia; Caviidae. The record is from RNAcentral.